RNAcentral lists this microRNA precursor (100 nucleotides) under Columba livia (rock pigeon). RNAcentral's name for it is "microRNA cli-mir-181a precursor (cli-mir-181a-2)". Its record names the gene cli-mir-181a-2. The stretch from base 10 to 90 matches the Rfam family "mir-181 microRNA precursor family". Rfam says of the family: In this case the mature sequence comes from the 5' arm of the precursor. The extents of the hairpin precursors are not generally known and are estimated based on hairpin prediction. Lineage: Eukaryota; Metazoa; Chordata; Aves; Columbiformes; Columbidae. The record is from miRBase by way of RNAcentral.
AUCUUUGGAUAGCUUCAGUGAACAUUCAACGCUGUCGGUGAGUUUGAGAACUACAAAAACCAUCGACCGUUGACUGUACCUUGAGGUUUAUCACAAACCC